Molecule: ribosomal RNA, 518 nt
Filed under: uncultured bacterium
Lineage: Bacteria
Description: bacterial SSU rRNA
Rfam family: Bacterial small subunit ribosomal RNA
Source: RNAcentral
CCGCAACGCCGCGUGAGGGAUGACGGCCUUCGGGUUGUAAACCUCUUUCAGUACCGACGAAGCGCGAGUGACGGUAGGUACAGAAGAAGCACCGGCCAACUACGUGCCAGCAGCCGCGGUAAUACGUAGGGUGCGAGCGUUGUCCGGAAUUAUUGGGCGUAAAGGGCUCGUAGGCGGUUUGUCGCGUCGGGAGUGAAAACUCGGGGCUUAACUCCGAGCCUGCUUUCGAUACGGGCAGACUAGAGGUAUGCAGGGGAGAACGGAAUUCCUGGUGUAGCGGUGAAAUGCGCAGAUAUCAGGAGGAACACCGGUGGCGAAGGCGGUUCUCUGGGCAUGACCUGACGCUGAGGAGCGAAAGUGUGGGGAGCGAACAGGAUUAGAUACCCUGGUAGUCCACACCGUAAACGUUGGGCGCUAGGUGUGGGACUCAUUCCACGAGUUCCGUGCCGCAGCUAACGCAUUAAGCGCCCCGCCUGGGGAGUACGGCCGCANNGGCUNAAACUCAAAGGAANUUGANG